This 3181-nucleotide unclassified non-coding RNA is filed under the name Monomorium pharaonis (pharaoh ant). RNAcentral's name for it is "uncharacterized LOC105839437, transcript variant X1". The record is from RNAcentral. Lineage: Eukaryota; Metazoa; Arthropoda; Insecta; Hymenoptera; Formicidae.
GACGUCGGUUACAGAGAGUCUGUGAGAGAAACGUCCACGAGUUCUAUCCAGUAGGCGCACGAGUAGCACCAUCAUCAUCACCACAUUAACCCCGUUCGAAGAUACCCGCGGGGAACAGACUCGCAUGCGCGUUUAGUCGAUUCUCGCGCUUCGAGUUUGGGCGAUCGCGUUCAGUGAAAGAAAACUAAAGAGAGGGUCGCUCGCACACCCCGAAAUGACGUUUUCUCUGAGGUGCAUUCGGUGAAUUUAACGGAGUGCGCUCGUUAACGACGUAUUAAUUAUUGUUCCGAAUCGGAAUACCGGUACCGGAACAGCUUCCGCGACAGUUUUCUGGAACAAGAGGACGUCAAGGCCGGAGAUUUACGCACGAAAUGGAACGCAGGACGCUUUGGUUGCUUUUCAUCACUUUAGUUGUGAAAGGAUCCAAUGCAGGUUCGGCAGGCACCGGAUGUGGUUAUCCGGGUGCACCGGCACAUAGCAGCGUGCGUUUUGCCAUCAGAAAUAUCGACCACAUCAUAGACGAAGAGGAUGCCCUUCUUAAUGAUACCACGUUACCGGAGGGCACCGUAGCUACGUAUUCCUGCGAACGAGGGUUCGAGCUUUUGGGACCAGGGCAAAAGACAUGUAAACUCGACGGCGACACAUACAUGUGGGAUCCUGAUGGCGUGCCCUUUUGCGUUCUGAACGUGGCAGGCGGCAAAGCGCCGAUGCAGUCCAGCACCAUGGACGGAGCAGCUCCGCAACACGCGGUCGAUGGAAGUAGCAGCCAGGUAUACGUACGGGAUACCUGCACCCUGACGAGGCCCGAGCGCAAACCAUGGUGGUACGUGAACCUAUUGGAACCGUACAUGGUGCAGCUGGUACGACUGGACUUCGGUAAACCGUGCUGCAGUAGCUAUGGCACUAUCACCGUCCGAGUUGGUAAUAAUCGACCAGACUUAGGAACGAAUCCCAUUUGCAAUCAAUUCACCGGAACUGUAAAGGAGGGGGAUCCUCUCUUCUUGCCUUGCAAUCCGCCGAUGCCCGGAGCUUUUGUCUCUGUGCAUCUGGAAGUUCCGAAGGGCGUCGGUAUUCUCCCGCAGUUGUCUUUGUGCGAAGCCUUCGUCUAUACCGAUCAGGCCUUGCCGAUCGAGAGGUGUCCUCAAUUCCGGGACCAACCGCCGGGAUCAACGGCGACUUACAAUGGCAAGUGCUACAUAUUUUACAAUCGCAAUCCACUGAUAUUCACAGAAGCUCUGGAAUUCUGUCGCGCGCGAGGUGGCACCCUCGUGGAUGAGAGCAAUCCCGCUCUGCAGGGAUUCAUCUCCUGGGAAUUAUGGAGGAGGCACAGAAGCGACACAGCCAAUCAGUAUUGGAUCGGCGCAAUUAGGAACUCUAAUGAUCGGACGUCGUGGAAGUGGGCUGGAAGUGGUGAAGAGGUGUCUAUUUCGUUCUGGAGCUUCCCGCAAAGUACCGAGGAAAACUGUGCUCGGUAUGACGGCAGUAAUGGCUGGCUUUGGUCCGCUACAUCUUGUACAGCACGACUUUAUUUCAUCUGUCAGCAUCAACCACGAGCUUGCGGUAGACCCGAACAACCACCAAAUUCCACGAUGCUAGUGGCCAGCAGUGGGUCAACCAACACUCCCAGCAACAUAUACGAAGUCGGAGCGACCGUAGAGUACAGCUGUAACGUGGGUAGCCUUCUGAUCGGACCGUCGGUCCGCACUUGCCUCGACACCGGUUUCUACAACGAGUUUCCGCCAGUGUGCAAAAGUAUUGAGUGCGGUUAUCCCGCGAGCAUAAGGAACGGCGGUUACACGCUCAUCAAUAACACUGUCAGUUUUCUCAGUCAAGUGCUUUAUUCCUGCGAUGAGGGAUACGAGAUGACCGGACGUGCCCUAUUGAUGUGCGACGUCGACGAGCGUUGGAAUGGACCACCGCCGCGAUGCGAGCCGAUUCGCUGCGCUCCACCGGCUGCGAUCGCGCACGGUUAUAUCGAGAUUGAGAAAAUAGACAAGGAUGAAAGUGUCUCAUUGAAGAAUAACUUCAACCGAAGUCUGCUGGUUAACAGCGUUGUCACGUACACGUGUGAGAAAGGCUACCGGCUCGUUGGUUCUCGGCAAAUAACAUGUUUAAGUACCGGAUUCUACGAUCGAGUCGCACCUACCUGUACAGAAGAUUCACGGACUACCGUGAUCCCUCCUACUCGAGGGACGAUACGUUCGACCACUGUAAAAACUCGACCGUACCUCACCCCAAGGGUCAGGACAACAACAAGUACCAGCACGGCAACUACCAGCACAACUUCUCAGCCGUCUAGAAAUGUACCUGGCACUGCGGAACUCCCAGCGACGGUGAGGGAAACAGUCUCGAGGAGGCCAAGCAUUGGCCUGAAACCCAUACAGCCUUCGUCGGCGGAUACCGGUAGCGAGCAUCCGCAAGACAACGAGAUAUCCCAGAGCGUCGACCACGCACAAGCGGGAAUUGGUGCGGGCGUGCCGGAACCGUCUGGUCCUUUCCGAGUGGAUAGCGCUGAGCAUCCCAGUGGCACUCAUCAGGCCAAGCUGAAUCUGGGGGCCGUGAUCGCUCUGGGAGUAUUUGGCGGCUUUGUGUUCCUCGCCGCGGUGAUCACGACGGUCGUUAUUCUCAUACGCAGCGGCAGUGGCAGCGUCAGAGGAAGGCGCCGCAGGGGGCUCGGUGGGGUUGGUGCGCUGAGGGGUGGCGGUAGUGGUGGCCUUGGGAGGGGCGACACCGGGAUGCCCUCGCGAUGGUAUACGCUACUCGCGCUACCCUUCCCCGACCAGCACCUGGGGCGCCGCGACCUCACGGCACGCCGCGGUAGCGAUCAUCCUUACUCCUUCAGCCUGUCAGCGGCGCAUCGCGCCGGCUACUUCUCGAAUCCCUCUCUGUAGAACGCUAUCGCCGCCCCUCCCUCUCAUCCCGCCGUAAAAAGACAGAGAAAACAAAGCAAAAGAGAGAACCAUUCCACCCUUUAAUAAAGCAACCUACAACCACCACUACCACCCCGACCCUCCACGCAACCACCGCCCACCACAUCAACUAUCAUCACGUACCAGCUACCACGCGCCACCCUCGCGAGUGAUACUAGUCAAGAAAUCGCGGAAGAAGCAGCAAACAUUAUCGUCACCGUGCAUCACCCGAUUGCAAUACCGUCGCCAGUUUCGACAGCAGUUCCUCGGAG